UUCAGGAAGGAUUUAUAUAGAGAAACUCCGCUUGGACUACAGAAGUCUCGAGGUAUGGAUAAAUUUACUUAUCUCUGCUUUUUGCUCGAAUAGUAUUAUGCUAUAUGGAAUUCUGGAUGCAACAGAUGUUUGAUGAAAGGAGCUUCUGUCAUCAGGUUAGUUCUCACCAUCCUAUAAACAAUUAAAUUUGCUACAGUCAGAUCAAUAAAUGUUUUAAUCAGAUUAUAGUAUGGUUCAUACGACAGAUUGUGACUGAAGUAUGAAUUGUAUUUUUUUGCAUUAUUUAGCAACAAAUAUAUAUAUAUAGCAUGCAUUGAGCAAUAUAGGAGAAUCGACAUACAGGCAACAACUGGAAUCUUUAAUUUUAGGUAGUUUGGGGAAUGGUCGUUUGACGGCUUCAUGCGAUGUGUGUGCCACUCAAAUUUGCCUGCUACAAAUUCUACUUCAAUUUCACAGGCCCCCUUCAGGGUUGAAGUUAGCAUGGGCAGAUGCAAUUAUUUUCUCCUUCUGUAGAAUUCUACUGGCUAUUAGAAAGGUGUCUUAUGCCUUUAGGUAGAACUGCAAUCUUAUAUCACGACUUAUGCCUUCUGCAUAAGAUACAUAGGCAGUAUAUACUUAUUUUAGAAUACAUGUGUUUUACUUUUAGAUGGAACCAACAUUUCGGCUGUUCUAUUUGAUUCUUCACAUGCAUGUUGGAUAUGAUUAGGAGUUUAUCGAUUGUAUUUUAAUAUUGUUCAAGGAAAGGGAAUUUGUCUGGAAUGAUAUAUCAACUUAAUCUUUAUACCAAACACCUCUUCUCCAAAUGCUAUUUUACAAAGCUCCCAUGUUGAUUGUCAUUAGCUUCUGGUUGUCCGUUAAUAGAC
This is a non-coding RNA of Lolium perenne, 863 nucleotides long. Lineage: Eukaryota; Viridiplantae; Streptophyta; Magnoliopsida; Poales; Poaceae. The record is from RefSeq and is a predicted model, not a curated record.